This 462-nucleotide ribosomal RNA is filed under the name uncultured Chitinophagaceae bacterium. RNAcentral's name for it is "bacterial SSU rRNA". It matches the Rfam family "Bacterial small subunit ribosomal RNA", at positions 337 to 796 of the family's 1533-position model. The record is from RNAcentral. Lineage: Bacteria; Pseudomonadati; Bacteroidota; Chitinophagia; Chitinophagales; Chitinophagaceae.
UCCUACGGGAGGCAGCAGUAAGGAAUAUUGGUCAAUGGAGGCAACUCUGAACCAGCCAUGCCGCGUGGAGGAUGAAGGUCCUCUGGAUUGUAAACUUCUUUUAUAUGGGACGAAAAAAGGCUUUUCUAAGUCGUCUGACGGUACCAUAUGAAUAAGCACCGGCUAACUCCGUGCCAGCAGCCGCGGUAAUACGGAGGGUGCAAGCGUUAUCCGGAUUCACUGGGUUUAAAGGGUGCGUAGGUGGGUUGGUAAGUCAGUGGUGAAAUCCCCGAGCUUAACUUGGGAACUGCCAUUGAUACUAUCAGUCUUGAAUACCGUGGAGGUCGGCGGAAUAUGUCAUGUAGCGGUGAAAUGCUUAGAUAUGACAUAGAACACCAAUUGCGAAGGCAGCUGGUUACGCGGAUAUUGACACUGAGGCACGAAAGCGUGGGGAUCAAACAGGAUUAGAUACCCUGGUAGUCC